Columba livia (rock pigeon) is the source of this 420-nucleotide long non-coding RNA. RefSeq lists it as uncharacterized. The record is from RefSeq and is a predicted model, not a curated record. The transcript is spliced from 2 exons. Lineage: Eukaryota; Metazoa; Chordata; Aves; Columbiformes; Columbidae.
CUGACAUGUAUUGAAUCAUCAGUAUGAAGAGCCAGAGUUUCAGUGGCAUUGAUCAUGUACUGGAUUUUAAUGUCAAGUGACCCAGAUUAUUUUGUUGUUCCUUUUCUCCUCCUCCCCCCCACCCCCGAAUUAUAAAACGUGAAUGACAGAGGUACUCCGUUGGAGGGCCAAACUGGCAAGGAGCAGGGAAGUGUGGAGCACCAGAGUAUUCAGUUUAUCCUGCAGUCCUUUAGUAACAAUCAGAGAAAUCUAAGCAGGGAAUUGUAGGUGAAAUGCUGACUGACAUGAAAGAGAGAAGCUGAUCGAGAAGAACCCGAAAAUAUAAGCUGAUCAAGAAGAGCCCUUCAGGUAGCAGCACUGCACACUCAUACAUGUUUUGAAGAACUAACUGCCUAAUUAAUAAAAAGUUACUAAAACAAA